AAACAAAAGAAAGAGAACAGGAAAUGACACCAGAUAGCAUCGCGGUCCGGAUUUGGCAUCAUCCAUCGUAUUUUCUCGCUGCUCCUUUAGGGCCUCGGCUUCUCUCGAAUGGCUAUCUCAUUCUGUACCAGUCUUCAUACAAAGGGCGCAACUCCUCUUCCAGGACCUGGACCAAGACAAUGCAAAUACACGGGUCAAUCAGUGCGAGCUCUUCCAAUUCGGAUAUUAACGGUAGGGAAAAAGCGUUCCCGUGGAGUACAAUUCGUAGUCGAUGAAUAUAUUGGGAAACUUCAGAACUAUUGCAGUGUUGAUGAUGUUCUGAUACGGUCCAAUCCAAGAAAUGCUCAUGAUUCGAGGGCUCAGGUUGACGAUGAAGACGCGGCUAUCAUGAACCUUAUCAGGCCUGACGAUUGGGUUGUGAUGCUGGAUGAAAAUGGACAAGACAUUGGGUCUGAGCAGAUGGCAGAGCUAGUUGGUGAUGCUGGGAAUACAGGCGCUUCUAGAUUAUCGUUUUGUAUAGGUGGACCUUAUGGUCAUGGACAACAAUUGCGUGAGCGAGCUAACUUAUCAAUCAGGUUGUCUACAUUAGUCUUAAAUCAUCAGAUUGCAUUGCUUGUGUUAAUGGAACAGCUGUAUCGAAUCACACUGAACAUGUUGUUACUUGGCAAGUUACUGAGGUCGGUUAAAUGGCAGAGUGCUUGCUUCAAAAUAAGAUGAUUGUCUACACCACAAAUACGCAAUUGUAUAGGUUUUAAAGUUACCAUUCUUUCGAAAUGCAGCUUGUAGCAAUUUGGAAGGCUUGGUGAGUUUUUGAAUCUCCUAUUUGAUGGCCAUGGCCGUAUCUUAGGCUGCAACAUUGUUGGCUAUCACUAUUAUUUCCAUCACUAAUCAAAACCAAAAACAAUAACCACCCUAGAAACAUUAAUAUGCGAGGCUCUUGAGAACAUGUUCUGCUAUUAAUUCAGUAGAAUAACACAUGCUUUAUUGCCUAAUUUUAGGUCAUGGACUAUUCUGAAAGGACAGAAAUACCAUCAUUAGCUAUUCUUUCACGUGAUCUAAAUCAUUAGUGACAGAGUAUGUAAUGUGGUGUGGGAUCUGAGCCGAGGAUGGUUGUGGGUUUUGGACGCAUUCAGUUGUUCAUGAAGAUUAGAC
RNA transcript from Carya illinoinensis, 1152 nucleotides. It is a transcript of the gene named putative RNA methyltransferase At5g10620, with no coding region annotated. The record is from RefSeq and is a predicted model, not a curated record. The transcript has 8 exons. Lineage: Eukaryota; Viridiplantae; Streptophyta; Magnoliopsida; Fagales; Juglandaceae.